This 1386-nucleotide ribosomal RNA is filed under the name Pleostigma alpinum. RNAcentral describes it as "partial large subunit ribosomal RNA". It matches the Rfam family "Eukaryotic large subunit ribosomal RNA", at positions 34 to 1442 of the family's 3401-position model. The record is from RNAcentral. Lineage: Eukaryota; Fungi; Ascomycota; Eurotiomycetes; Pleostigmataceae.
UUAAGCAUAUCAAUAAGCGGAGGAAAAGAAACCAACAGGGAUUACCCUAGUAACGGCGAGUGAAGCGGUAAGAGCUCAAAUUUAAAAUCUGGCCUUCACCGGUCCGAGUUGUAAUUUGUAGAGGAUGUUUCGGGCAAGGCUGUGGUUUAAGUUUCUUGGAACAGAACGUCAUAGAGGGUGAGAGUCCCGUCUAGAACCGAUAGCCGCGUCCAUGUGAAACUCCUUCGACGAGUCGAGUUGUUUGGGAAUGCAGCUCAAAAUGGGUGGUAAAUUUCAUCUAAAGCUAAAUAUUGGCCAGAGACCGAUAGCGCACAAGUAGAGUGAUCGAAAGAUGAAAAGCACUUUGAAAAGAGAGUUAAACAGUAUGUGAAAUUGUUGAAAGGGAAGCGCUUGCAACCAGACUUGUGUGUAGCGGUUCCCCCAGUCUUCUGACUGGGCUACUCCGUUAUAUCCAGGCCAGCAUCGGUUCGGGUGGUCGGUUAAAGGUCCUGGGAAUGUAUCUACCUUCGGGUCGACUUAUAGCCCAGGGCGUAAUGCGGCCUACCUGGACCGAGGAACGCGCUCUUGCUCGGAUGCUGGCGUAAUGGUUGUAAGCGGCCCGUCUUGAAACACGGACCAAGGAGUCUAACAUCUAUGCGAGUGUUAGGGUGUCAAACCCGUACGCGUAAUGAAAGUGAACGGAGGUAGGAAGCUUCGGCUGCACUAUCGACCGAUCCUGAUGUUCUCGGAUGGAUUUGAGUAAGAGCAUAACUCUCCGGACCCGAAAGAUGGUGAACUAUGCCUGAAUAGGGUGAAGCCAGAGGAAACUCUGGUGGAGGCUCGCAGCGGUUCUGACGUGCAAAUCGAUCGUCAAAUUUGGGUAUAGGGGCGAAAGACUAAUCGAACCAUCUGGUAGCUGGUUCCUGCCGAAGUUUCCCUCAGGAUAGCAGUAACGUUUUCAGUUUUAUGAGGUAAAGCGAAUGAUUAGAGGCCUUGGGGUUGAAACAACCUUAACCUAUUCUCAAACUUUAAAUAUGUAAGAAGUCCUUGUUACUUAGUUGAACGUGGACAUUUGAAUGUAUCGUUACUAGUGGGCCAUUUUUGGUAAGCAGAACUGGCGAUGCGGGAUGAACCGAACGUGAGGUUAAGGUGCCGGACUGCACGCUCAUCAGACACCACAAAAGGUGUCAAUGCAUCUAGACAGCCGGACGGUGGCCAUGGAAGUCGGAAUCCGCUUAGGAGUGUGUAACAACUCACCGGCCGAAUGCAUUGGCCCUGAAAAUGGAUGGCGCUUAAGCGUGCGACCUAUACCUCGCCGUCAGGGUUGACAUGAUGCCCUGACGAGUAGGCAGGCGUGGAGGUUUGUGACGAAGCCUUGGGGGUGACCCCGGGUCGAACAACCUCUAG